RNAcentral lists this transfer RNA (69 nucleotides) under Rhabdopleura sp. NHMO H2137. RNAcentral's name for it is "tRNA-Trp". It matches the Rfam family "tRNA". Rfam says of the family: Transfer RNA (tRNA) molecules are approximately 80 nucleotides in length. Their secondary structure includes four short double-helical elements and three loops (D, anti-codon, and T loops). Lineage: Eukaryota; Metazoa; Hemichordata; Pterobranchia; Rhabdopleurida; Rhabdopleuridae. The record is from RNAcentral.
AGAGAUUUAGGUUAACUUGUUAGACCUAAGGCCUUCAAAGCUUUAAGUGGGGGAUUUCUUCAUUCUCUG